Silurus meridionalis is the source of this 267-nucleotide long non-coding RNA. RefSeq lists it as uncharacterized. Lineage: Eukaryota; Metazoa; Chordata; Actinopteri; Siluriformes; Siluridae. The transcript has 2 exons. The record is from RefSeq and is a predicted model, not a curated record.
CACGGGUUCGGUUCUCCGUUGCUGCCGUUUCCUGCUCUCCAGGGCCGAUCGUUGUAGAGUGGAGCACAUUUCUCACAGUGAGCACCUGCAGUGUGAGAUGCAAUGCAUUGCGCACAGAAGCAAAAUCUACAGAUCUGCAAAAGUGGCAGGAGAAACAGGUAAAGAAGCACUUCGGAACUAGAGAACAGAUCUUCUCACCUGUCACGCCGUGCAAAAAUCCUAGGAGAAGCAUCGCAAGUGGAAAGCGAUUCAUGCUCGAGAUCAUCA